This 434-nucleotide ribosomal RNA is filed under the name uncultured Lachnospiraceae bacterium. Its description in RNAcentral is "bacterial SSU rRNA". It matches the Rfam family "Bacterial small subunit ribosomal RNA", at positions 341 to 792 of the family's 1533-position model. The record is from RNAcentral. Lineage: Bacteria; Bacillati; Bacillota; Clostridia; Lachnospirales; Lachnospiraceae.
ACGGGAGGCAGCAGUGGGGAAUAUUGGACAAUGGGGGAAACCCUGAUCCAGCGACGCCGCGUGAGUGAAGAAGUAUUUCGGUAUGUAAAGCUCUAUCAGCAAGGAAGAAAAUGACGGUACUUGACUAAGAAGCUCCGGCUAAAUACGUGCCAGCAGCCGCGGUAAUACGUAUGGAGCAAGCGUUAUCCGGAUUUACUGGGUGUAAAGGGUGCGUAGGUGGCAUGGCAAGUCUGAAGUGAAAUGCGGGGGCUCAACCCCUGAACUGCUUUGGAAACUGUCAAGCUUGAGUACAGGAGAGGAAAGCGGAAUUCCUAGUGUAGCGGUGAAAUGCGUAGAUAUUAGGAGGAACACCAGUGGCGAAGGCGGCUUUCUGGACUGUAACUGACACUGAGGCACGAAAGCGUGGGGGGCAAACAGGAUUAGAUACCCUGGUA